This 512-nucleotide ribosomal RNA is filed under the name uncultured bacterium. RNAcentral's name for it is "partial 16S ribosomal RNA". It matches the Rfam family "Bacterial small subunit ribosomal RNA", at positions 28 to 523 of the family's 1533-position model. The record is from RNAcentral.
GACGAACGCUGGCGGCGUGCCUAAUACAUGCAAGUCGAGCGGAUUGAUGGGAGCUUGCUCCCUGAUAUCAGCGGCGGACGGGUGAGUAACACGUGGGCAACCUGCCUAUAAGACUGGGAUAACUUCGGGAAACCGGAGCUAAUACCGGAUAAUCCCUUUCCUCUCAUGAGGAAAGGCUGAAAGAUGGUUUACGCUAUCACUUAUAGAUGGGCCCGCGGCCCAUUAGCUAGUUGGUGAGGUAACGGCUCACCAAGACAACGAUGCGUAGCCGCCCUGAGAGGGUGAUCGGCCACACUGGGACUGAGACACGGCCCAGACUCCCACGGGAGGCAGCAGUAGGGAAUCUUCCGCAAUGGACGAAAGUCUGACGGAGCAACGCCGCGUGAGUGAUGAAGGUUUUCGGAUCGUAAAACUCUGUUGUUAGGGAAGAACAAGUACGAGAGUAACUGCUCGUACCUUGACGGUACCUAACCAGAAAGCCACGGCUAACUACGUGCCAGCCGCCGCCGUAA